GACAGAGGGUGCAAACGUUGUUCGGAAUUACUGGGCGUAAAGCGCGUGUAGGCGGCUAAGUAAGUCGGGCGUGAAAUCCCACGGCUCAACCGUGGAAGUGCACUCGAAACUGCAUAGCUAGAGUCCUGGAGAGGAAGGUGGAAUGCUUGGUGUAGAGGUGAAAUUCGUAGAUAUCAAGCGGAACACCGGUGGCGAAGGCGGCCUUCUGGACAGUGACUGACACUGAGGCGCGACAGCGUGGGGAGCAAACAGG
RNAcentral lists this ribosomal RNA (253 nucleotides) under uncultured bacterium. RNAcentral's name for it is "partial 16S ribosomal RNA". It matches the Rfam family "Bacterial small subunit ribosomal RNA", at positions 524 to 776 of the family's 1533-position model. The record is from RNAcentral.